ACUGGAAUGAACAAUUCCAGUCUAGAUAUACUAAACUGGCGAAGGUCCUGCUACAUACUGCUGCCACCUGCUGGUGUACAUAGAAAUUACAGCACAAUAUAUAAGACAGGCCUAGAAAAUAAAUAAAAUCACAAUAAUGACACUAU
This is a long non-coding RNA of Bufo bufo (common toad), 146 nucleotides long. RefSeq lists it as uncharacterized. The transcript has 4 exons. The record is from RefSeq and is a predicted model, not a curated record. Lineage: Eukaryota; Metazoa; Chordata; Amphibia; Anura; Bufonidae.